RNAcentral lists this unclassified non-coding RNA (433 nucleotides) under Hevea brasiliensis (rubber tree). The record is from RNAcentral. Lineage: Eukaryota; Viridiplantae; Streptophyta; Magnoliopsida; Malpighiales; Euphorbiaceae.
CCAGAAGAGAUGGCAGAAUUACUUGGAUGUCCCUUACCUCCACGAAAGCUGAAGCCAGGUAGAUUUUGGUAUGAUAAGGAAUCUGGUUUCUGGGGAAAGGAGGGGGAAAAGCCAGAUAAACUCAUCAGUUCAAACUUAAGUUUUACUGGGAAACUCAUGCCAGAUGCAAGCAAUGGAAGCACUGAAGUUUAUAUUAAUGGCCGGGAAAUAACCAAACUUGAACUGAGGGUGUUAAAACUAGCAAAUGUGCAGUGUCCACGUGAUACUCAUUUUUGGGUAUAUGACGAUGGUCGUUAUGAAGAGGAAGGCCAGAAUAAUAUCAGGGGAAACAUUUGGGAGAAGGCAUCAACGCGGUUGGUUUGUGCUCUUUUCUCUUUGCCCGUCCCCCAUGGUCAACCACUUGCACAGAGAGAUGAGGCUAGUAAUUAUACUA